This 880-nucleotide long non-coding RNA is filed under the name Homo sapiens (human). RNAcentral's name for it is "HSALNT0163565". Lineage: Eukaryota; Metazoa; Chordata; Mammalia; Primates; Hominidae. The record is from RNAcentral.
CCACUCAUAGAUGUAGCAUACUUUAGCAAAAGUGUGGUGGGGCUUACGAAGAUGGUGUUUGUGAGGCAGAAAACAGUAACUUCAGCAUGAACCUUAGGCACUCAUGUUUCAAAAUGCCUUUGACCAUCCCCAACAAGUGUGUUUCUCCUGGUUCCUUGCUCCACUUAGUUGAGGUUUAUUUGUUCACAUUCUUCUCAUUUGCCUGCAGGCCUAGGAACUCCCCUGCUUGGAUCACCCCUUCAGAUUCUUUUCCCUCUUUUAGAUAGAGGCAUUCGGUACUCCUCAACUUCUGUUCCUGAUGGCUCCUCCCGGGAAAUUUCACCUAAACUCAACCUCAUGAGCUACAGAAGAAAUGGUCCUUUAAUUUAGUGCCUUCCAAUUUAGAAAGUGAGAGUGGCUGUACAUCCAAAGUUGGCAUGAUGACAACGUAUUUGGCCCUGGCAAUAGAUUAUGGCUGGUACAAACCAGUUCUCAGGAUAUCUUACAACUAGAGGCAGCCUUAAGACCCUGUUUUGUCGAGAAUACCUACUUGGAAGUCUAGUCAAAAGGUAUUUAUUAAGGUUUUUGCUUUCCUGGUUAAAGGAGAUGGUUGUAGCUACCCAUCCUUUCUUGUUCUUCACCCUUCUUUUUGCCUUGAAUGGAGUCAGGGUAGUUGGGACUGCAAAAGUCAUUUUGUGACUAGAGAGAUCACCUUAACCUCACUGAGCUUCUGAGUCAAGUCAAUAACUGUGUAUCUCCAGACUUUUUAUUGUAUGAAGGGAAAAAGAGUUCUAUUUAUUUAUGCAACUAAUGACUUUUACUUGACUUGAAGGCAUUCCUGAACAUAAACACUGCUACUUUUGCAACUGCUUUUGAGACAUAUUUAUAGAGUUCAUCAAAA